Bos taurus (domestic cattle) is the source of this 1322-nucleotide long non-coding RNA. NCBI's taxonomy places the organism in Eukaryota, Metazoa, Chordata, Mammalia, Artiodactyla, Bovidae. The record is from Ensembl.
GUGUCAGGACCCCAACCCACCCAAAACCCAGUUUGGGACUCAACCCACAUGUCUGGGACUUGAACCCAGCCCAAAUCCAUGGUCUUCCAACUGAGAUCACACACCUGGUUUCGGGACCUAAUGAAGCUCAGGUUCUUGUCUCAUUGCAGGAAGAAUUCAUUGAGAGACAAAGUGAUAGGGUCGUAAAGGCCACACCAAAAUGACUUCUCAACGGAAGCAAACUUUCCCUUGAAGGCUUUUGAGUCCUGUCGACAGAAGGAACUCUGACCAUCUGAAACAGGAAGCCCUGUGACCUCAAGUUCACAAGUUCUAGGAUAGGAUCACAGGCUCUGGACCCAGACACUGGAGUUCAAACUCCUGAGUCAUCAUAUACUAGCUGAGUCUGCAUCCCACUAUGAGACUGAAAAUGCCAAAUGAUGGCUUUCCCCGCCUUCCUUGCAGCUAAGGCCUGAGCGUGUGACCCACUGCUGGCUAGUAGACCACUGAGAGAGAGUCUUCUGGAGCCCUUUCUGGAAAAGGCUUUUCUCUCACAUAAAAAGAACAGCCUUGGGCUUCCCUGAUGGUCCAGUGGUUAAAAAUCCACCUUGCAAUGCAGGGGACAUGGGUUCGAUGCUUGGUCCAGGAACUAAGAUCCCACAUGCCUCGGGGCAACUAAGCCUGUGGGGCGCGACUCCUGCAGUCUAUGCCCUGCAACGAGAAGCCAACACAAUGAGAAGCCGCAACUGGAGAGUAUCCCCUGCUCAUCACAACAAGAGAAAGCCCGCAUGCAGCAACAAAGACCCAGCACAGCCAAAAAAAAAAGAUAGCCUUUCCUCAUUGUUUAAACCACUGCAGACUGACUUUACUGUUACUUGCAGCCUAAAGCCUCCAUAACUGAUACAGAACUGGUUGCUACAAUUAUGGCAGGAAUCCAUGUGAGAAAUGAGGCUUAAUUGGAGGCACAGAAAAGAAAGAAUAGAGCUGAGGAAAGCUUGGAAGUAAAGUCAGUAAGGCUGGGUGACUGAUCGGGCGCAGGGGUUGAGCUGUGUGCUGUGUAGAAUAAAAGAAGUUUAAACCCCAGGUUUUAAACCCCAGAGGUUUAAAACACUGAUAUUAAGGAUCCCAGCAAGACAGAUACAUACUGAAUGAAAGCACCAACUAUACCAGGCAGCCUACGCCAAGGGCCAACCUGUACUGUAGGAGUUGUGAGGAGGGAGGGAUGGGGAGCUGGCCCCGGACUUGAAGGAUGGCUGGGCUUUGGGUUUGGAUAGAUAAAGGAGAUUAUGAUCAUCUGGGCAGGCCUUUCCUGAUACAUCUUAGACCAAAUUUUAUAGCUAGUACUC